RNAcentral lists this ribosomal RNA (432 nucleotides) under Salmonella enterica. RNAcentral describes it as "bacterial SSU rRNA". It matches the Rfam family "Bacterial small subunit ribosomal RNA", at positions 1 to 429 of the family's 1533-position model. Lineage: Bacteria; Pseudomonadati; Pseudomonadota; Gammaproteobacteria; Enterobacterales; Enterobacteriaceae. The record is from RNAcentral.
AAAUUGAAGAGUUUGAUCAUGGCUCAGAUUGAACGCUGGCGGCAGGCCUAACACAUGCAAGUCGAACGGUAACAGGAAGCAGCUUGCUGCUUCGCUGACGAGUGGCGGACGGGUGAGUAAUGUCUGGGAAACUGCCUGAUGGAGGGGGAUAACUACUGGAAACGGUGGCUAAUACCGCAUAACGUCGCAAGACCAAAGAGGGGGACCUUCGGGCCUCUUGCCAUCAGAUGUGCCCAGAUGGGAUUAGCUGGUUGGUGAGGUAACGGCUCACCAAGGCGACGAUCCCUAGCUGGUCUGAGAGGAUGACCAGCCACACUGGAACUGAGACACGGUCCAGACUCCUACGGGAGGCAGCAGUGGGGAAUAUUGCACAAUGGGCGCAAGCCUGAUGCAGCCAUGCCGCGUGUAUGAAGAAGGCCUUCGGGUUGUAAA